AGUGAACGCUGGCGGUAGGCCUAACACAUGCAAGUCGAACGGCAGCACAGGAGAGCUUGCUCUCUGGGUGGCGAGUGGCGGACGGGUGAGGAAUACAUCGGAAUCUACUUUUUCGUGGGGGAUAACGUAGGGAAACUUACGCUAAUACCGCAUACGACCUACGGGUGAAAGCAGGGGACCUUCGGGCCUUGCGCGAUUGAAUGAGCCGAUGUCGGAUUAGCUAGUUGGCGGGGUAAAGGCCCACCAAGGCGACGAUCCGUAGCUGGUCUGAGAGGAUGAUCAGCCACACUGGAACUGAGACACGGUCCAGACUCCUACGGGAGGCAGCAGUGGGGAAUAUUGGACAACGGGCGCAAGCCUGAUCCAGCCAUACCGCGUGGGUGAAGAAGGCCUUCGGGUUGUAAAGCCCUUUUGUUGGGAAAGAAAUCCAGCUGGCUAAUACCCGGUUGGGAUGACGGUACCCAAAGAAUAAGCACCGGCUAACUUCGUGCCAGCCGCCGCCGCAG
Molecule: ribosomal RNA, 506 nt
Filed under: uncultured bacterium
Lineage: Bacteria
Description: partial 16S ribosomal RNA
Rfam family: Bacterial small subunit ribosomal RNA
Source: RNAcentral